GUCCUAUAGCUCAGUUGGUUAGAGCGCUACACUGAUAAUGUAGAGGUCGGCAGUUCAACUC
RNAcentral lists this transfer RNA (61 nucleotides) under Bacteroides fragilis str. 3783N1-2. Its description in RNAcentral is "partial tRNA-Ile". It matches the Rfam family "tRNA", at positions 2 to 59 of the family's 71-position model. From Rfam's summary of the family: Transfer RNA (tRNA) molecules are approximately 80 nucleotides in length. Their secondary structure includes four short double-helical elements and three loops (D, anti-codon, and T loops). Lineage: Bacteria; Pseudomonadati; Bacteroidota; Bacteroidia; Bacteroidales; Bacteroidaceae. The record is from RNAcentral. RNAcentral also lists the same sequence under 2 other names.